UAAUGAGUCCCCUAGGUGUUGAUUUUAGCUGGGGUAGUUAUUUUAAAAAAAUUAAGAUGUUAUACGACAUAUAUAGAUGGAGAUUGGUCCUGUUUAUACGGAAAGUCAGUUUGAGUUACUUUAGGGAUAACAGCGCAAUAUUUUUGGGGAGACCAUAUUUAUAGAGAAGGUUGCGACCUCGAUGUUGAAUUAGAAGUUCUCUGUGGGGCAGAGUAUACAGGGGAGGGUUUGUUCAACCCUUAAAUUUUUACAUGAUCUGAGUUCAAAC
Molecule: ribosomal RNA, 268 nt
Filed under: Tectovalopsis sp. MAR-5641
Lineage: Eukaryota; Metazoa; Arthropoda; Malacostraca; Amphipoda; Alicellidae
Description: partial 16S ribosomal RNA
Rfam family: Bacterial large subunit ribosomal RNA
Source: RNAcentral